GACGAGCCACACGAACGUUAUUCGGAAUUACUGGGCUUAAAGGGUGCGUAGGCGGUGCGGAAAGUUGGGUGUGAAAUCCCUCGGCUCAACCGAGGAACUGCGCCCAAAACUACCGCACUCGAGGAAGAUGGAGGUGAGCGGAACUUACGGUGGAGCGGUGAAAUGCGUUGAUAUCGUAAGGAACACCCGUGGCGAAAGCGGCUCACUGGGUCUUUUCUGACGCUGAUGCACGAAAGCUAGGGGAGCAAACGGG
RNAcentral lists this ribosomal RNA (253 nucleotides) under uncultured bacterium. RNAcentral's name for it is "partial 16S ribosomal RNA". It matches the Rfam family "Bacterial small subunit ribosomal RNA", at positions 524 to 776 of the family's 1533-position model. The record is from RNAcentral.